Molecule: ribosomal RNA, 253 nt
Filed under: uncultured bacterium
Lineage: Bacteria
Description: partial 16S ribosomal RNA
Rfam family: Bacterial small subunit ribosomal RNA
Source: RNAcentral
UACGGAGGGUGCGAGCGUUACCCGGAUUUACUGGGUGUAAAGGGCGUGUAGGCGGUCUCUCAAGUCCGAUGCUAAAGACCGAAGCUCAACUUCGGGGGUGCGUUGGAUACUGUGAGGCUAGACGGUCGGAGGGGGUAGCGGAAUUUCCGGAGUAGCGGUGAAAUGCGCAGAUACCGGAAGGAACGCCGAUAGCGAAGGCAGCUAUCUGGACGCUUGGUGACGCUGAGACGCGAAAGCGUGGGGAGCAAACAGG